This 492-nucleotide ribosomal RNA is filed under the name uncultured bacterium. Its description in RNAcentral is "partial 16S ribosomal RNA". It matches the Rfam family "Bacterial small subunit ribosomal RNA", at positions 29 to 507 of the family's 1533-position model. The record is from RNAcentral.
AGUGGACGCUGGCGGUAGGCCUAGCACAUGCAAGUCGAACGGCAGCACAGUAAGAGCUUGCUCUUACGGGUGGCGAGUGGCGGACGGGUGAGGAAUACAUCGGAAUCUACUUUUUCGUGGGGGAUAACGUAGGGAAACUUACGCUAAUACCGCAUACGACCUACGGGUGAAAGCAGGGGAUCUUCGGACCUUGCGCGAUUGAAUGAGCCGAUGUCGGAUUAGCUAGUUGGCGGGGUAAAGGCCCACCAAGGCGACGAUCCGUAGCUGGUCUGAGAGGAUGAUCAGCCACACUGGAACUGAGACACGGUCCAGACUCCUACGGGAGGCAGCAGUGGGGAAUAUUGGACAAAGGGCGCAAGCCUGAUCCAGCCAUACCGCGUGGGUGAAGAAGGCCUUCGGGUUGUAAAGCCCUUUUGUUGGGAAAGAAAAGCAGCAGGUUAAUACCCCGCUGUUCUGACGGUACCCAAAGAAUAAGCACCGGCUAACUUCGUG